ACAGGUAUCCAGAGACCUAAACCGAUUUCUCUCAGUGUCGGUCCAGAGAAUAAAACCCAGCACCGGCUGACACUUGGACAUGGGAAGCGGUCCGGGGGCGUCCGAAAUCGAUUUCAGCGCUACCUACCUACCUGCCAGCUUGGACUCGGGAUGGAUGUGGAUGUGGAUGUUAGUGGUUAUGGUUCUGAGCCCGGUAUUGGCAUUAGUCUUUUGGUCGCAGGGCCGGGUGUUACCUGUUACCAAGCUAAUGGCCAACAGACCGCGCGACCAACAUAAAUCCAUAAAAACAUGAAAAGGAAAACGAGCGAGAGAAAAUAAUUAAAUUGCAAUUAUGUGCAAACAAUUCCAAAUCCGGACGAUUCGGAAAAAGUUAAUUACACGACAAUAAAGCGCAGAAGAACGGGAAUGGAUAUAUGGCUAAGGUGUAUAGUAAGUAAGACUGGGUAACUGGCCACUGGUUACCUGCCCACACCGCAUCACAUCCGCAGGCUGAUUGGCUGCGACUCUUUGGCUGACUUGAGCUGACAUUAAUGGGUAUUUGAAUGCGGCUUCUGGGCGCUUUAAUCGGCUGACCGGAUCGGGACGGACUGGACUGGACUGGACUGGACAGAACGGACGGACUGCGUCUUAUGUCUCCAGUGACACGUCGUCGUCCGCAUUACAAUAUCGUUAGUGUGGAAAUGGGCCUUGACUGCGGAUGAUCGCAAUUUGCUGAUUUCGCGACUGCAGCAAGUCAUCAGCGACGGUACUCAAACUCAUAUCAUCCAUCCAAUGGUCGGUCGGUCGGUCGGUCGGUCCUCCGAUCUCGUGUCCCCAGCUAAUGAAGACCGACGGACGGAUUAGUUAUGGCCUUAUGAUAAAUUGGUCUGAUCCAAUUGUCUGGUCGUUUGGGCAGUCAUCGAAUUAGUGACAACAUCGGAUAGCAGCAACAACUUUCGCCACAGAUCUCAAUCAGUGGCGUACUGAUUAAAUGAAAUUUAAUGACCCAUGAUUGCCACCUUGGUUUCUUCUCGCACUGAGUGAUUCUUGAGUGAGUGGGUUUUCUUUUUUUUUUUUCUGGUAGAGGUUAUCGUCGAGGUAUUGAUUGAUCGUCUGUUUGAUUAGGUCAUCCGGCUUAGGAU
Molecule: non-coding RNA, 1121 nt
Organism: Drosophila melanogaster (fruit fly)
Lineage: Eukaryota; Metazoa; Arthropoda; Insecta; Diptera; Drosophilidae
Source: Ensembl